RNAcentral lists this ribosomal RNA (269 nucleotides) under uncultured bacterium. RNAcentral describes it as "partial 16S ribosomal RNA". It matches the Rfam family "Bacterial small subunit ribosomal RNA", at positions 1234 to 1500 of the family's 1533-position model. The record is from RNAcentral.
CGGGUACAACGAAGUCGCAAGCUCGCGAGAGUAAGCUAAUCUCUUAAAGCCGUUCUCAGUUCGGACUGUAGGCUGCAACUCGCCUACACGAAGUCGGAAUCGCUAGUAAUCGCGGAUCAGCAUGCCGCGGUGAAUACGUUCCCGGGCCUUGUACACACCGCCCGUCACACCAUGGGAGUUUGUAACGCCCAAAGUCGGUGGCCUAACCUUUAUGGAGGGAGCCGCCUAAGGCGGGACAGAUGACUGGGGUGAAGUCGUAACAAGGUACC